CUACUUUUCAAACAGCAAGGGUCUGCUGAGCAUGGUGGUGAAUGCCUGUAAUUCCAGCACUUGGGAGGCUGAGGCAGGAGGAU
This is a microRNA precursor of Cavia aperea (Brazilian guinea pig), 83 nucleotides long. NCBI's taxonomy places the organism in Eukaryota, Metazoa, Chordata, Mammalia, Rodentia, Caviidae. The record is from Ensembl.